Non-coding RNA from Caenorhabditis elegans, 231 nucleotides. NCBI's taxonomy places the organism in Eukaryota, Metazoa, Nematoda, Chromadorea, Rhabditida, Rhabditidae. The record is from Ensembl.
AGACACUUUUGACAGGUAAUUAAUAGACAGUUAGUGUGAAUUUCUACGAUUGCCAAACCAAUUUCUUCGUUCAAUUCGCACACUCACACAUGAGUUUAUCGUUGAUUUGUCCUUGCGCAAUUGAAACAUUUCCUCGCUUAUCUGCCACAUCAUCCGGACAUGAGAUUAAUGAGAUUUUGAAUCUGAAUUGAACAGGAUAUCAAUUCAAAUGAGAGACGAUCAAUGAGCAAA